AUGCUGCCUUGGACCAGGAGCUCUAGGGCCACAUCCUUUGGAUGUGCUGGUGUCAUUCUGCUGAGAAAACAGCGGAGCGGUCAUCCUGAUGGAAAACACACUGAGGUUCCGUGCACGGACUCAGACCCUGCGUAACCUAGGCAUCAGGAAGCCACAAUUGGGGGCAGAAAUGUCUCAGGACACUGGGUAAGGAUGGGGCUGAAAGGGACUGAUUAGGGCCUCCCCUGCCUGCACACAGCUUGCUCUGGGUCAAAGUGCUGCCUUAUGGAGGGGAUGGGCGUCUACCUUUUCUACAAAUGCCCUCACAGCUUCAGUUGGAAUGAUCCAAGCUAGGCUGGCCGCUCGGUAUGUGCCAGGAUUGAGGUAUGAAGCCCCAAGUUCCUGACCUUCUCCUAGCUCAUCUUGUCUUCAGUCUCCCCACCCCUGCUGCCCCGAAUUCUUCAUAUCAGCACAUACAGAAACAUUGACGCAUUACUUCUGAUUUCCAAUAUUCUGCCCUGUCAUUAAGUUCUUGUUUGCUGCUGUCUCAGUAUCUUGACUUAGAUAAUCUGUUGCCCCGUUGUCCCUGACUACAUGUCCUUCUGCAAAGGAAAAGGAACCGGUGGGAGACAGAAGAAAGGAAGAGGGAAGGAAGGAAGGUAAGGAGGAAAGGAGGAAAAGAAACGUGG
This 668-nucleotide long non-coding RNA is filed under the name Ailuropoda melanoleuca (giant panda). Its description in RNAcentral is "lncRNA (ENSAMEG00000026156.1)". The record is from RNAcentral. Lineage: Eukaryota; Metazoa; Chordata; Mammalia; Carnivora; Ursidae.